This 408-nucleotide ribosomal RNA is filed under the name uncultured Methylomirabilota bacterium. Its description in RNAcentral is "bacterial SSU rRNA". It matches the Rfam family "Bacterial small subunit ribosomal RNA", at positions 1027 to 1434 of the family's 1533-position model. The record is from RNAcentral. Lineage: Bacteria; Methylomirabilota (SeqCode).
CGUGGAGACAGGUGGUGCAUGGCUGUCGUCAGCUCGUGUCGUGAGAUGUUGGGUUAAGUCCCGCAACGAGCGCAACCCUCACCCCUGGUUGCCACCGGGUAAAGCCGAGCACUCGAGGGGAACUGCCAGCGUCAAGCUGGAGGAAGGCGGGGAUGACGUCAAGUCAUCAUGCCCCUUACGCCCUGGGCUACACACGUGCUACAAUGGCCGGUACAAAGGGACGCGAGACCGCGAGGUGGAGCUAAUCCCAAAAAACCGGUCUAAGUUCAGAUUGCAGUCUGCAACUCGACUGCAUGAAGGAGGAAUCGCUAGUAAUCGCGCAUCAGCACGGCGCGGUGAAUACGUUCCCGGGCCUUGUACACACCGCCCGUCACACCACGAAAGCUGUCUGUACUCGAAGUCGCUGAG